CAUGCACCUGUGGGGUCCCUCAGCCUGGCCUGUGGGGAAUCGGGUGAAACCAGCUCUCCAACAUCCCCUGAGGGGUCUUGGAUUGUAAGAGGGCACAGGCCAGGCUGAGGGACCCCAUUGGUGCAAG
Non-coding RNA from Myotis brandtii (Brandt's bat), 127 nucleotides. Lineage: Eukaryota; Metazoa; Chordata; Mammalia; Chiroptera; Vespertilionidae. The record is from Rfam.